RNAcentral lists this long non-coding RNA (384 nucleotides) under Gossypium barbadense (sea-island cotton). RNAcentral's name for it is "long non-coding RNA (GBAR_LNC021206)". Lineage: Eukaryota; Viridiplantae; Streptophyta; Magnoliopsida; Malvales; Malvaceae. The record is from RNAcentral.
UGUUGAGUGGCUAGAUUGUUUGAAUCACAACUUCCGGGGCUAAUUUGAAUGUUGAACGCUCUCAGUUUCAUCAACCAAGCAGAAUCCAGGGUAACAGAAUCAACCUUGUCUAGUCUUAGUUUAACUAUUGAAAGCCGAUCCAGAGUGAGUAUUUCAUUGAAUGAAGCCUUACCAUAAUCUACAUUACAUCUGGUAUCCCACUUGUAUGCACUGAAUGACAUGUCUAAUAAUUCCAGGCUUUGCAACCCUGAAAUUGUACCAGCUUCAAUGGUUUCUAGAUGGUGUGUUCGGAAUAAAUGUAGUUCUUGUAGCUUCUUUAGCUUGCUCGUCCCGUUUGGUAGUUCUCUCAAUCGAGUUCCUGAGAGAUCCAUCACCAGGAGUUUA